GAUGAACGCUAGCUACAGGCUUAACACAUGCAAGUCGAGGGGCAGCGGGAUUGAAGCUUGCUUCAAUUGCCGGCGACCGGCGCACGGGUGAGUAACGCGUAUCCAACCUUCCGUACACUCAGGGAUAGCCUUUCGAAAGAAAGAUUAAUACCUGAUGGUAUGAUGAGAUUGCAUGAUAGCAUCAUUAAAGAUUUAUCGGUGUACGAUGGGGAUGCGUUCCAUUAGGUAGUAGGCGGGGUAACGGCCCACCUAGCCGACGAUGGAUAGGGGUUCUGAGAGGAAGGUCCCCCCACAUUGGAACUGAGACACGGUCCAAACUCCUACGGGAGGCAGCAGUGAGGAAUAUUGGUCAAUGGACGAGAGUCUGAACCAGCCAAGUAGCGUGAAGGAUGAAGGUCCUACGGAUUGUAAACUUCUUUAUAAGGGAAUAAACCCUCCACGUGUGGGAGCUUGUAUGUACCUUAUGAAUAAGCAUCGGCUAACUCCGUGCCAGCA
Molecule: ribosomal RNA, 495 nt
Filed under: uncultured bacterium
Lineage: Bacteria
Description: bacterial SSU rRNA
Rfam family: Bacterial small subunit ribosomal RNA
Source: RNAcentral